AAGUCUUAUACUAUACCAGCCAAAUCUAACAGCUAGAUACCAAUAUCUUUCGUCUUUUCACAUCAAUCAAACCAGCCAUUAAUGAUAGCAGGUUUUUAAAAUUUGAAAUGAAUUCUUUUCUACUACUUUUUGUUUCCCAACCAUUCAUUUCUCCUUUCACUUAGUCCGGAGGUUCUGGCCACAAGUUCUCCAGCACUUCACGAGCCGAUUCUGGGAUUCCUCCUAGCAGUUGAUAUCUCGGAGUGUAUGACUGCCUGUGAUGCAAGGAUCUCCCCCUCAUUUCGUAUGAGCAAAAUCGUAGCCGAUCUGGACGAUUGUCGGUAGAAUGCUGCGUCAAAAUGGAUUGCGACCCUUCCUCCUCUACAUACGUAUUGGGUAUUUCCAGUAGAUUGAAGAUUGGUUUCUGCUGAACCAGAGUCAACAACAAACAACCCGAAUCUGUUCAGUAGUCCCUUGACCGAAGAUCCAGGGCACUGUUGAAAAAUAUGGAUGCUGUUUUCCUCUUCUUGGCGGCACCUGGGGCAUUGAGCUUUCACCACAACCCUGUUGAGCCUGAGAUUGACAAGGGACGGAAAGAAGUUCCAUGAGAGUCUCCAUACUGUAAUUUGGAUUUUUGAUAGAAUGUAUAAUUUCCAUAGUUUACUAUAGAAGUUUUCAUUUUUGGCAUGUAAAUUAAACGUAUUAGGAUCCAAGUUAGUCUCAUGUAAUAGUUUAUAGGCAUUCCUAACAGAGAACUCCCCUGUCAACUCCCCUCUCCAUACUUGAAAAUCCUCGUGCGCUGCCUCUACUAGUGGAAUCCGCAAGAUUUUUUCCGCUAUAUGCAUUCGAAAGUUUCCAGCAGCCCUCUCGCGGACCAAACACUCUUCCAAGUGAGUGAAGGCUAAAAGUUUCUUCUUCCCUUACCAAGUUUGGGUCUACUUGUACUUGAAGAAUUAUUUCUUCUUCUUCAUCAAGGGUCAGGAAGAAAAUCAAAGAGUAACGUUGAAGACUAGUUUUAAAAAGAAGGCUACAGAGACGGCAGCCACCAAUCAAAUAAGGCACAAACAGAAACCUAAAGACUUGCUAUAGAAAGCAGACAGAGACGUGCUAGGGUAGCAGACUUAUGUGGAUACUUUGUUUUUUUGACUAUGGAACCUUUAAUGAUACAUAUUCCAUAAACAAAACAAACACUAUUUCGAAUGUUGCUUAAAAAUGAAAAUGGAUAAUACAAUUGGUAAUAAAAGUACCAUAAAAUUUAUUUUAUGAUAAGUCAUAUUGUCUUUUGUUUUCUUUCACUAAAUAAAUAAGUUAAUUAGUCCCUAUAUGUUAAAUCAAGUAAUAGCCGGUCACUUAUGUUAAAAGAAAAAUUCAUUCAUUCCUACUAGAUAGUGAUGUGUCAUGUGUACCUUAUGACAUACAUAGGCAAUUUUUUAACAAUAGAAAUUGAUGACAUUUUUAGCAAAAAGAUCAGUUUGCUUUUUAAUCUAAUGUAUAAGGACUAAUUUAUACAUAUUUUGAGUAAAUAAAAAAUACAAUUUAACUCUUAAUAUAAGAAUUUUCAAGAUACUUUUACCUACUAUUGGCAUAGAAUAGAUUUAUGUUUCUUGAAUGAAAAACAAUAAUAUUGUAACAUUUCUCGAAACAUGAAACUUAUUUUUAACCAUAAGUGCUUUUAGGGUAUUUAGACACUCAUAAGUGUUAAGGUGGUUUGUAUUUUAGCAUCGUCAAGAUUUUUGAAGCAGCCUUAGUACACUAAUAUAAAAGAAAAUAAUUUGAAGUCUCUAUAACUGCAAUUUUUUGGAGGAUUGAUUGUAACCACAUAAGAAAUAGAAAUUGAAGCUAUUAAGUUUAAGUGAUCAACCUAUGAUUAUUAAUCACAUUAGGUAAAAAUUACAAUUGAUGUGAACCUAAAAAGCUAAAUGCCAAAUUAAAUCUUACUUAUCAAUUAAAUGCUAAAUAUAGAGAACUAGAUACAUCUACGCCGUUUAUUGAUACCUUGAAGCAACGUAUGGAUGUGCGUCUUUCCAAUUUUAUUAUUUGACUAUUGACUUGUAGUGUAUUAAUAUUUAGACUUUUUGUAUUGAUAUUGAAUCAUCAAAAUAUCUUAAAACAUUUUAAUCACCUUAAAAACAUUUUGGUAUUGAUUCAAAAAGAAAAAAAAGAGAGGUUAAAACACAUUAUAAAUAUGUUUUGAGUAUUUUGCAAGUCUUUAAAAUGUAUUGAAAAUGUUUGAUCAUUAAAUGACUUAGUUAAUAAAAAUCAUCUCAAACGAUAUUAUAUCAAAAGCUUGAGAUAUCAAAACUAAUACUAUUCGUAAGAUCCAAGUAAACAACAACAAUAUAAUGAUCAUUUUGUAGUAAAAAUAAAGAGUUAAGAUUUAAGAAUGCUCAAUAAUAGAGUGUAAGCCCAAUAUUAUCGAAUCUAAGUGUAGAAUCUAAACAUCUUCUUUUCACUUCCAGUUUUAAUAUUAAGUGAAAAAAAAAUUAGAAACUAAAGAGAAAAUACUUUGAAUUGAAACUUGAGAAAAGGUCAUACAAAAUAAUUUAAAGAAAAUACAAAAGACAACAAAAGAAAUGUAAAAGAUACUCAAAACUAAUGAAAUCGUAAGCUAAAACAAUAGAAAAAUAAAACACAACUCUCUAUCAACCUUGUUUCUCUUCCAAAUAACUAAAAAACAAAAUCCCUUUUUAUGUUGAAGUAUCUAGAUAAGUGAUUUUACAAAUUGGCCCUCCAUGAAUCUUUAGUUUUAGCAGAGUUGGGACCUUGCAAAAUGAGUGUCUCGACUUUGCAUCAAAUUUCCUUAGUUUACCCUUUUGAAACCUUAUCAAAUUUGAGAUAGUGUCACAACCCUUUAUUGACGAAUUGUCUUCUUUUAUAGGCCAUAUAUGCAGUUCAUGACUUAAGCUUCAGAUUAGGUUUUGACUAAGUUAUUAGAUCUAGUGCAUUCAUUUUGUAAAUUUUUAUUUUUCGAACAAACUGGUUUAAUAAAAAUAACCAUUAAUUACAUUAAUACAUUUUAUAUAUUUUCCUUAAUGUUUUUGCACAAAAAUCAAAAUGAAAACAAGUAUUGACUCACUAAAAAUGCCGAGAGUGUUGCUCUUGUUAAAAUAUCCCCAAAGAGGGUUUCUUAACAUAAACAAUUCCUUCCUUGGGAGCUCAACGAAAUCAUUUCCCUUCCUCUUUGCAAGAUCUGACCUCUACUUUCCUAUAUCUUUUGGUCAACUUUUCUAGUUCAACCUAUUAAAUCCUAGGUUGAUCUUUUCCAUUGUUUUAAUAUAUGUAUAGGACUGUGUUCUAGUGCAGACUUAACUACACCUGUUUACCUUGUAUGGGAUCUACAAAUUCCAUGGCAAACCAGUGUAUGCAUAUACUAUGAAUACCCUUUAAUCUAAGGAGCCUCUUUUCUUUCCACCAUAUUUGGGUUGAAACAUAACCCUGGCGUCAGUCAUCAUUCUCAUGGUCUAUAUUCCUUGGUCACACCAACUUAUUUCUUGAAAUGACUUAUCACUCCAGUCAUCCGCGAACUCCAUUUUUACCCUUAACCUUCUUUAUGAACCGUGGGCUUUCCAAUUACAAUCCAUAUGUCUUUACAACAUGGCUGACUUCCCAUGUUACGGUCCUAGCUAACCACCCGGUGUUUAGUGUCCCAACAGAUCUAGCAUGCUGCCAUAGCUAAAUUAUGGUCUUACACAAAAUACAUGUGUUUAAUGUCCCGACAGGCUCAAUUGGUUGUCAUAGUUGUGCUAUGGUCUUACACCUCGUAAUCCUCGUGAUUACUAUUUCGACAAACUAUCCUGUGUUAUGUCCUGACAAAUCAUCUACGAUGCCAUAGUAUCUUUCUGCUAUGGUCUUACACCUCGUAAUCCUUUUGAUUACUGUCCCGAUGAACUAUUUUGUGUUUAAUGUCCUUGCGGAUCAUCUAUGAUGUCAUAGUAUCUUUCAACUAUGGUCUUACACAAUAUAACCUCGUGUUUACUGUCUCGGCAGACUACCAAAGGAUGUCAUAACGUCUUUUAGCUAUGGUCUUAAUCCUAUUUACCUUUUUGGUGCGCUUUCAUAUGAUGCCAUAUCAUCUUUUAGAUAUGGUAUUAUUCAUUUUAUCAUGAUUCCAUAGCAUCUUUCAACUAUGGUCUUACUCAUUUUAUCAUGACGCUAUAGCAUCUUUCAGCUAUGGUCUUACUCAUUUUAUGCAUAUAGCCUCCGAUCAGUCCCAUAGCCUAGCCAUGAUAUUUUAUUUACUUUUCCCAUUGCAACCCAACCAUUACUCUGUUCGUCAUCCUAACCUUGAUGCUUGAACACCGCAGGGUCCCCUCCGUAAAGCCUAGAGCUUCGCUCAUCACGGGUGCACUCAAUAACACUGUAUGAUGUUAUCUAACAGAAUCAACCCUUUUUCCCAUUCCUAACUUUAUCUAACCCACUAGUAAUUUCCCUUCCAAAUCAUGUAUACACUAAUUAUGCAUUCCUUACAAAACAUCUUUAUGCAAUGCCUACACCAGAUAACCAUUUAACAAUCAUCUACUAUUACGGUCAGCAUUAACAUAUAAAAUUUUUAGAGCAACAUUUAGCAACUAGAAGGCAAUGUACAGAAACUCAUCUGGUUUUCUUGCCUCAUUAGCUUAGCUUCUCCAAACACCAAUCCUUCUUCAUCCUAGCAGCUAAACAUGACAACCAUGUAUCAGUUAAACUAAAGGUGUUCAACCCUUAAGACCUAGAUUCCACAAUUAUCCAAAAACUUUGAGCUUUCUUACUCUACUUCUUUUCUUCAAUCCAAAAGUUCAGAGGGAUAAGGAAACGUACUAAUUCCCAAUCUUUCUACUUCUAGACUUAAAUCCGCAUGAAAACUGCAACAAGCAGAACUUUCUUCAACUACAUUAUAUUCUUCUUUAGGGUGACUGAAGAAGACGAUUCUUAACGAAAAAGGUUUGGGAAAUAGGAUUGAGAGGAAUUUUAUUCCCACACACGUCUAUAUAUACUCCCUCAGCACAGUCUCAAAGGCUAUUUCAGCUAUUCAAUCCUAAUCAUUAAGUCUUCCACUAUGGAACUAGCUAGUUAUAUCCUAACCGAACCAGGGUUGAAAUACAACUAAUCGAAUUUUGACCACUAAAAUUUUUAUUUACUCGGCGAGGCUCGAUAGUUUGCUAAUCCUCUUAAUUUAUUCAUAAUUUCCCUAGUUUUGGGAUUAAAUAACAAUGUUCGUGUUACAAGUAUGUAAUUAUGGAGAGCUCGGUCACGAUACUAUCGUGGAAUUACUUUGUGACUAAAUAAUUUUAUAAUUAAUAGGCGAAAAGUUGAAGCUUAAUUAUAAA
Molecule: long non-coding RNA, 5285 nt
Organism: Gossypium arboreum
Lineage: Eukaryota; Viridiplantae; Streptophyta; Magnoliopsida; Malvales; Malvaceae
Exons: 6
Source: RefSeq, a predicted model, not a curated record